GAUGAACGCUGGCGGCGUGCCUAAUACAUGCAAGUCGAGCGAACAGACGAGGAGCUUGCUCCUCUGACGUUAGCGGCGGACGGGUGAGUAACACGUGGAUAACCUACCUAUAAGACUGGGAUAACUUCGGGAAACCGGGGCUAAUACCGGAUAAUAUAUUGAACCGCAUGGUUCAAUAGUGAAAGACGGUUUUGCUGUCACUUAUAGAUGGAUCCGCGCCGCAUUAGCUAGUUGGUAAGGUAACGGCUUACCAAGGCAACGAUGCGUAGCCGACCUGAGAGGGUGGUCGGCCACACUGGAACUGAGACACGGUCCAGACUCCUACGGGAGGCAGCAGUAGGGAAUCUUCCGCAAUGGGCGAAAGCCUGACGGAGCAACGCCGCGUGAGUGAUGAAGGUCUUCGGAUCGUAAAACUCUGUUAUUAGGGAAGAACAAAUGUGUAAGUAACUAUGCACGUCUUGACGGUACCUAAUCAGAAAGCCACGGCUAACUACGUG
Molecule: ribosomal RNA, 497 nt
Filed under: uncultured bacterium
Lineage: Bacteria
Description: partial 16S ribosomal RNA
Rfam family: Bacterial small subunit ribosomal RNA
Source: RNAcentral